CCUACGGGUGGCAGCAGUGAGGAAUAUUGGUCAAUGGGCGCAAGCCUGAACCAGCCAAGUAGCGUGAAGGAUGACUGCCCUACGGGUUGUAAACUUCUUUUGUAAAGGAAUAAAGUGAGGCACGUGUGCCUUUUUGUAUGUACUGUAUGAAUAAGGAUAGGCUAACUCCGUGCCAGCAGCCGCGGUAAUACGGAGGAUCCGAGCGUUAUCCGGAUUUAUUGGGUUUAAAGGGUGCGUAGAUGGGUGGUUAAGUUAGUGGUGAAAGUUUGCGGCUCAACCGUAAAAGUGCAAUUGAUACUGGUAGACUUGAGUACAGUUGAGGUAGGCGGAAUGCGUGGUGUAGCGGUGAAAUGCUUAGAUAUCACGAAGAACUCCGAUUGCGAAGGCAGCUUACUAAACUGCCACUGACAUUGAUGCUCGAAAGUGUGGGUAUCAAACAGGAUUAGAUACCCUUGUAGUC
RNAcentral lists this ribosomal RNA (460 nucleotides) under uncultured bacterium. RNAcentral describes it as "partial 16S ribosomal RNA". It matches the Rfam family "Bacterial small subunit ribosomal RNA", at positions 338 to 795 of the family's 1533-position model. The record is from RNAcentral.